AUUGAACGCUGGCGGCAGGCUUAACACAUGCAAGUCGAGCGGGGUGAUGGUGCUUGCACUAUCACUUAGCGGCGGACGGGUGAGUAAUGCUUAGGAAUCUGCCUAUUAGUGGGGGACAACAUCUCGAAAGGGAUGCUAAUACCGCAUACGUCCUACGGGAGAAAGCAGGGGAUCACUUGUGACCUUGCGCUAAUAGAUGAGCCUAAGUCGGAUUAGCUAGUUGGUGGGGUAAAGGCCUACCAAGGCGACGAUCUGUAGCGGGUCUGAGAGGAUGAGCCGCCACACUGGGACUGAGUCACGGCCCAGACGCCUACGGGAGGCAGCAGUGGGGAAUAUUGGACAAUGGGGGGAAACCUGAUCCAGCCAUGCCGCGUGUGUGAAGAAGGCCUUAUGGUUGUAAAGCACUUUAAGCGAGGAGGAGGCUCUUUUGGUUAAUACCCAAGAUGAGUGGACGUUACUCGCAGAAUAAGCACCGGCUAACUCUGUGCCAGCCGCCGCAGUAA
RNAcentral lists this ribosomal RNA (503 nucleotides) under uncultured bacterium. RNAcentral's name for it is "partial 16S ribosomal RNA". It matches the Rfam family "Bacterial small subunit ribosomal RNA", at positions 30 to 523 of the family's 1533-position model. The record is from RNAcentral.